AGACUGCGGAGGACAUUAUUGAUUUUCAAGGAGCUGUUUGCUGGCCUCUCGGGGCAUGUGCACGCUUCGAUCGAUUCCAACCUUUACACCCCUGUGCACCUUUUGUAGGGUCGCGGUCGAAAGGCUGCGCCUCUAUGUCAUGCCACGAACUCUAUGUAUGUUUAGAAUGUUAAACGCGUGCGACGCAUUUUUAUACAACUUUCAGCAACGGAUCUCUUGGCUCUCGCAUCGAUGAAGAACGCAGCGAAAUGCGAUAAGUAAUGUGAAUUGCAGAAUUCAGUGAAUCAUCGAAUCUUUGAACGCACCUUGCGCUCCUUGGUAUUCCGAGGAGCAUGCCUGUUUGAGUGUCAUGGAAUCAUCAACCCUCAACCUUUGAGGACGAGGGCUUGGACUUGGAGGUUUCAUGCUGGCUUUGCCCUCUGUGAAGGGGUGGUCGGCUCCUCUUGAAUGCAUUAGCUUGAACCUAUGCUGUAUCGGCUUAUCGGUGUGAUAACUGUCUACGCCGCGGCUGUGAGGCUUUUAAAACUCGGGCUCAGCUUCGAAUCGUCCCUCCGAGGGGGGGGGACGCCAACUUUAUUGACCUCUGACCUCAAAUCAGGUAGGAUUACCCGCUGAACUUAAGCAUAUCAAUAAGCCGGAGGAA
This is a ribosomal RNA of 643 nucleotides. The stretch from base 197 to 350 matches the Rfam family "5.8S ribosomal RNA".